Molecule: ribosomal RNA, 429 nt
Filed under: Verrucomicrobiota bacterium
Lineage: Bacteria; Pseudomonadati; Verrucomicrobiota
Description: Verrucomicrobia bacterium partial 16S ribosomal RNA
Rfam family: Bacterial small subunit ribosomal RNA
Source: RNAcentral
UAGGGAAUUUUCCGCAAUGGACGACAGUCUGACGGAGCAACGCCGCGUGAGUGAAGAAGGAUUUUGGUUUGUAAAACUCUGUUGUUAGGGAAGAAAAAAUGUAUAGUAACUAUAUACAAAAGAGACGGUACCUAACCAGAAAGCCACGGCAAACUACGUGCCAGAAGCGGUGGUAAUACGUAGGUGGCAAGCGUUGUCCGGAAUUAUGGGGGGUAAAGCGCGCGAAGGUGGUUUAGAAAGUCUGAUGUGAAAGCCCACGGCUCAACCGUGGAGGGUCAUUGGAAACUAAUAAACUUGAGUGCAGGAGAGGAAGGUGGAAUUCCAGGGGUAGCGGUGAAAUGCGUAGAGAUUAGGAGGAACACCGGUGGCAAAAGCGGCUUUUUGGCCUGCAACUGACACUGAGGGGCGAAAGCGUGGGGGGCAAACGGG